GAUCCCAUUUCGAACUCAGUAGUGAAACAUGUAUGCGCCGAUGAUAGUGUGGGGCUUCCCCAUGCGAAAGUAGGUCAUCGCCAGGU
Molecule: ribosomal RNA, 86 nt
Filed under: Legionella sp.
Lineage: Bacteria; Pseudomonadati; Pseudomonadota; Gammaproteobacteria; Legionellales; Legionellaceae
Source: RNAcentral